GUGAAUCAUCGAAUUUUUGAACGCAAAUUGCACUCUCCGGUUUUCCGGGAGAGUAUGCCUGUUUGAGGGUCAGCCUAAAAAAAAUCGACAUUGUUGCUGUUAUUUAAUGGUGACUUUCGUCGGAGAUUGGGUUAUCUUAAACCUUUUUUUUUUUUUUGUUUUAUUGACUUAAAAUUUUUUUUCAAUAUUUCAUUUAUGUUUCUAA
Molecule: unclassified non-coding RNA, 205 nt
Filed under: Glomeraceae sp.
Lineage: Eukaryota; Fungi; Glomeromycota; Glomeromycetes; Glomerales; Glomeraceae
Description: partial contains 5.8S ribosomal RNA and internal transcribed spacer 2
Rfam family: 5.8S ribosomal RNA (bases 1-72)
Source: RNAcentral